This is a regulatory RNA element of Comamonadaceae bacterium, 82 nucleotides long. It matches the Rfam family "SucA RNA motif". The record is from Rfam. Lineage: Bacteria; Pseudomonadati; Pseudomonadota; Betaproteobacteria; Burkholderiales; Comamonadaceae.
UCGCAUCCGCCAACCGGUGCAGCCGUGUCGCGGAAGGUUUUCAACCCACUUGUGUUUCCUGCAGGGAAACCGAAGGCGAGCG